GUGGUACUUCUAAACUUCGUGGAAGAGCCCUGUUUCAUAAAUCUGAGACAGCCUUGGUCUGAGGGAGCAAAGACAGAGAAUUCACGUGCUGCCCAGGCAUAGCCACAUAGCAGGUGGACAUCCCUGGACACUUUUCUGACAAAGCACGCAAUGUGGGGACAACACAGAAAUCCAAGAAAGGCAAGACCAAUUUCAAGGCACUAAAUAAGUGGACUGAGACAAGAAGUACACAGAUACUUCCCAGAACAAAACCCUCAUUGGAUUUUCCUGGAAGUACGGAGAGUUACAUCCAGAGAACUCUGAACAUUUUGGAAGGACCCCAAUCCUGCAAACAAUGAAUGGCAAUAAAUCCUGGGACUGGAAAGGGGCUUCUCAACCCCAAGGCAACCAUAAAGUCCUAUACAAAGAAAGAUACAGCAGUGUGAAAGAGGCCUGGAUGAAAAAACAAAGACAGAGCCAGUGAGCCAGAGCCAGAGCCAGAGGACAAGAGAGAAAGGCAGAGAAUGGAAAACACAGACAGAGAAGGCAGAUGCGUAGAGAGACAGAGAUUCAAUGAGAAAAUAAGGAAGGAAGAAAGAAAGAAAACAAAAACGUUCUCAGCACUACAACUUCUGCCUUGUUCUGUUCCAGAACAGUAUGAGCUCAGUACUUUUUCAGACUCUCAAUUUUCUACAACUAAUAAUUUGCUCUUUCAGUUAGUGGCAAAGGCUUAACGACAAAGGUUCAUCUUUAAUAUUAGAGAGGCACUUUUAAAAUUUAUGAUGCUAAGCCUUUUGUUCUGGAUAUGGUAUGUUGCACAGGUCUAGGGACUGGGAUUUCAGAUGUCUAUUCCGUACCCUUAUUCUUUUAUUUAUUAAAUCUUUUAGUGUG
RNAcentral lists this long non-coding RNA (870 nucleotides) under Homo sapiens (human). RNAcentral describes it as "HSALNT0336662". Lineage: Eukaryota; Metazoa; Chordata; Mammalia; Primates; Hominidae. The record is from RNAcentral.